This is a long non-coding RNA of Cololabis saira (Pacific saury), 1510 nucleotides long. RefSeq lists it as uncharacterized. The transcript has 3 exons. The record is from RefSeq and is a predicted model, not a curated record. Lineage: Eukaryota; Metazoa; Chordata; Actinopteri; Beloniformes; Belonidae.
AGCUCCAGCUGCAGAUGCUCCUGCAGAAGUAGCAGCCGAAGCUGCAGCAGUUAGUUCAGAGUCGGCUGCAGGCGAUGCCACCACAGCAGAGGCUCCUGCAGCUGAGCCCACCCCUGCACAAUCUGAAGUCCUCUCAUCUCCAGCCCCUGCUGCUGAACCAGCUCCACAACCUUCACUGACGUCUGCAAAUGAAGUCUCCCCGGACGCCGAGACUGAAACAGCCAAAAAGGAGGACUGAUUGAAAUGAGCGAAUCACCAAAAUAACAGAGUUCCCAUAGCUACCAUUGGAGGAGAACUGGAAGAAGAACAAGAUGAAGCAAAAAGAAAGCUUUUCAUUUUCAGUAUUGCAUCACCAGCACUCACCAAACUUCACAACACCUUUAAUACUCAACGUGCCUUAAUAGCUUUUCUGUCGGGGGAAAAGAUCAGGAUUUUUCCUAUAUUUGUAUAUAAACCUUCACAGAGCAGGGAGAGGAGUUUCCCUACUGGGACGUCAAGUGCCUGUAGCCCCACAUCUCAGCCUGAAGACCAAAAGUGCUCUGAAAAACACUUGGUGCGACGUGAUAGUCGGGUGUAAAACUCUGUGAAAUCUGUCAGCUCUUGCGAUAGAGAUUGUUAACUCUUCAGGGAAAGUGUGCUGAGAUGCAGAAAAGGAUGCCUGCAGUAAAAAACCCUCACUAUUUAAAGUAGUUACUUCUGAGAAAAUGAGCCAAACACGACUGUGAAUAAUAAAAUAGUGAUAAAAAUAUCAAACUGCAGAAGAAAUAACCAACCAGAGUCACACGGCAUGCUCUCUUGCACCUUUGCCUCCUAUACUGAUCAUGUUUUCACGGAUUGAACUUCAAGAAAAAACAAAAAUCUAUCAAAAAUGUUUGCACAUUAUAUAAUAGCAGCCUUUCUAAUAAGGCUAAUUGUUUUUAUAGGAAUACUACAUUUUGGAUAACAGCACACAGUAUAAUACACACUUCUUAAAGAAAAAAAACACCUUUUUUGAUAUUUCAGCUGUUUACAUCAAAUUAAUCAGGAACAAAAUGCACUUUUGUUUUAUGUAAAAGAAACAAAAAUAAUAAUUCACUGCCAUGUUGAGGAUGCAGAUGAUGUGACGUGUUGUCGAACUCUUCUGUGAAGCCAUCUUGCAACAGCUGCGCCGCAGCUGGAACGUGUUCGUGAAACUCUCUUCCUCGGUAAUAAAUGUCUUCUUAGCGUAAAUUUGAAGGUGUAUAAUUGGCCAUGCAGAUGUCUUAGACUCUUAGAUCUUAGGGCGAGAACGUUACAUGUAUGUUUAACACACAGUCACAAAUCAACUCGGUUGACGUUUAGCUUCUGCACGCCGUGUUAAAUAAGUGUACAUGACGUGAACGGCCACUUGGACUGGAUAUGAUGUGAUGAACGUUGUGGGAACAAAUUUCUCUUUAGUUGAUUAUUUCCGUCUUGUCUUCUCUAUAAUAUUUCUUCCCUGAACCAUGUCUGUAAUUUUCUAACCUUUUAGUGUACAGAAUAAAGUCUUACU